RNAcentral lists this long non-coding RNA (2488 nucleotides) under Bos indicus x Bos taurus (hybrid cattle). RNAcentral describes it as "lncRNA (ENSBIXG00005005259.1)". The record is from RNAcentral. Lineage: Eukaryota; Metazoa; Chordata; Mammalia; Artiodactyla; Bovidae.
CCUGUGUCUACACACGUUUUACACUUAUAAAACCAGUCCUGUGUGCAUAUUACAAUAACAAAAUAACUGGAAAAAAGUAUAUUCAGUUAUUUCUAGCAGUUUCCUUUUGUGGUUGCAUUAUGAAUAGUUAUUGUCUUCCCACUGCUUUACUAAAUUCCCUAAAAUGUUCUCCACGACAUAUAUUACUUUAAUAGUCAGAAGUAAAGAUUAUUUUUAAAAGCUACAGAUUUUCAUAAGUCCUACAAAGCUACAGUUAUAUCCUGAAGCUUAACUAUGAGGUUUCCUAGAAUGUACUUGGAGUGUACUUUGUUGCUCAGCACCCCCAAAUACUUCUCGGCAGAGUUUUGGUUAUUUCAACUAUUGUUGCCUCAUAGUAAUAAGAUUAGCCCUUGGAGACUUGACUGAAGUUGGUAAAGGGUGUCUUUAUUAUCCUUUUCCUUUUUUUUUUUCCCCAGGAAGAUCUCUCUGUCUCUGCAUUUUUUCCUUUUAUCCACACAUCGACGACUUAUAUCCUUCUUUAUCAGAAGAGGAAAAAUAGUUAUCCUUUGUUACAGGGUUGCUACAUGCAAAAAGCCACACUACGUUAACUGUAGCUCCCCUUUCACUGUUUAACGGUCUGAUCCAGUAGACACUGUAAUUUCAGUUUCAUAGAAGAGAAUGUGGAGUCCUAGAGGUUAAUGUCUAGGGCCAAGGCCAUAAUCCUGGUAAGAGACUGGACAGGACUAGACCUCAGCUGGAGUCUCCAGAUAAGGUCACCAACACCUCCUCCUACCUCUGGGUGUGCCUGGAUGCCUUAGAUCAAGAGGACGUUUCUGAAAACGGACCAUUGAAAUAUUCAGUAAGCACCUACUGGACAGAAGAACGAGGGCCGGGCAUCAGGAAACGAGAGCCAGUCUCAUCUGAGCCCAUGCUUCCUGUCUGUUCCCACCUGAUGAAGAACUUCUGGCAUCAUCUCAUCAAGGAUUCCAGGCUGGACGAAAGCAAAAACCAGGACUAGAAGAAAUGCAAAAGCCAGUGCUUCCUCUUCUACCUGGACCGGAUCCACCACAGUGGCUCUUCACCUCCUUCUCACAUAAGACUCAAAAUAACCCAAUUGGGCCAAAGGGCAACCCUGCUUUCUUCAUUUUAUGGAUUAAAAAUCGAAGCCCGAGGCAUGAAAUGAUCCAUUUAUCAAGGUUAGUAUCAGUCUCCCUGUCUCAUUUUUUCCUCUCUCUGGGUUCUUUGGUUCCAAAGCUGGACUUCUUUUCUUAUGGAGGGAGCCAGUCUCACUUGAUUUCCUUGAGUAAUCUUGACCCAAGAAGUAUUUAAGUGAACGUUGGGUCCAAGCCCACCCACUCCAGCAGAACCUGUGAGGCUUCCUGAUUGCGUUUUCUGUUUCAGAUGACCUGGAAUUUCCCCCGAGCUUGGUAUUCUCUCCCUGCAGCUCCUCUUUCCCAGCAGUAGUGAGUCUAAGAAUACACCUGCCGCCCCCCAGGGCUUCCUCCAGGUCACAAGAGCCUCCGACUUAGCCCAGCAACUUGGGCACAGGUGACUUCCCCAAAACGGGACUGAACAUUAUGGUGACUUUGGAUUUAAUCACUUUCCCACAGAGUGUGGCUCUCCCCUGUGCUCCAGUUUGUCUGUUCACCAUCUUCCUUGCCUCCCCCACUAACCCACAGACACUUGUUCCGCUUCAGAAGCCCUUUCCUGUCAUUUCUGGACUACCCCACAGCCACACCCCCCCAGAAGACGUCAGAUGUGUUCGUCCUGCGUCGGUCGUGGCAGCAGGACCAAAGCUGACAGCCAGCGUUCUCAGUACCCUCGGAAAGGGGGCUGCUGACACCACCAGCAACCAGAGCCAACACGGUUUAUUCAUCUGUUAAAUCAAGAGUGAUGGGAAGACGGUCCAUCCCAGGCGGCGUGUUUUGCACCAGGCAAAUAAUGACGAAUCAUGUGUAAAAUGUUAUAAUUGAAGGCAUACGCCUUCCUCUGAGAAGGAUUCUAGGUGAAAUUCAGAGUGGUUAUUUAUAGACCUGGAGACCAAAGACUGAAGGGCAGGGGAGUGAGGCAUUUUAGAAAAAUAUUUUUCUAGGAAAGGAGAGAGAAAGGACACGGAUCAGGUUAGCCGAGGCGGGAACAUGCACGCAAGGGGAGGAGCGGAGGACGAGGCAGGUUCAGAAGAGCUUUGGAAGGGUGGAAACUUGGACUCUCCAAGAUGGGGAGGGACUGGUGCAGAGAUGUGGUUAGAACUGAAGCCUGGAAUCAGUCCUGGCAAGGCCCCUGCUCCUGGCACGUUGGGGAAGAUGGAUGAAAGGGCGAGUGAGAUGAAGGCAAGGGAAAUUGAGUCAUUGCCCCCCAACGCUCACUCACUGCCGAGGGCAGUGCGCAAACAGCUCAGAAAGAACUCAUGACCGGGGAGGCUCAGGGAAGGCAAAGCCCCUUGCUUCCAGUUCCUGUUUGAAAAUAUAAACAACAUGCAAAUUCAAAUAAAAAAAUUCUUCCUGUGUCA